Long non-coding RNA from Quercus lobata, 266 nucleotides. RefSeq lists it as uncharacterized. Lineage: Eukaryota; Viridiplantae; Streptophyta; Magnoliopsida; Fagales; Fagaceae. The transcript has 2 exons. The record is from RefSeq and is a predicted model, not a curated record.
GAAAACUAUGCAUCAUAACUUGUGGAGAGGACAAGAUUGUUAUGGUUUACUUUACUUGGCAUAUUCUUUCGGUAUAAAAACAAUGUUGGACUGCAUUUGUGAAAGUUCAUUUCUGUGCAGGUGUGGAAUGCUGUCGCUGGUAAUAAGCUGUAUACUUUUGAAGGGCAUAAAGCACCAGCUUACUCCAUGUGCCCUCAUAAUAAGGAAAACCUUCAUGGCCUGUUUCUCAUGCCUCAGCCAGAGUUUUAGGCUCAGGCUAUUAUUCA